UUUAGUGAGAGCGCCCUUAGUGUGCUCCAAAUUCCAAAGGUGCCCUUCGGCUCAAAACAACUGUGCACUUCAUGCUCUGUGGACAAACAGAACAAUCUGAUACAGGAAAGUUUUCUGCUACUGCAGAGUGAAGAAGGAACAUCUUGUGAAAUACCUAUCUGGAGGAACUGGUCAAGAAAGAUAAAAAUAGAUCCAGCACAGGGAGAAUAAAAGCCUUUCCCAGACAAUGUUCUACCCGUGUUGCUGAUAACCAUCUGUAGCAAAUGACAACAGUGUUUGAGCUAUGUAACUCCUGAGGUGAAAAAACGCCACCAAAGCACACCUUAAUAACUGGAGAGAAUUCAUCAAUUGUUUUAUUAAAACUAGCAAGUUUCAGUCAGUCACUGGUCUCCAGCUGUUACGAACCAGAGCGCCAAUUGGCAUAUAGUAGCUUGUAUAUUGCGAAUGUCACAAUAUCGUAUGAUUUCACAGAAUCUGUUUUUAAUUAUGCGGUCACUUUCUCUUUUUUUGCUCCUACUGAUAUCUCUAUUGCAAUAAUUUUGUUUUUCAUUAUGCUCUUUUCCCUGACAUGGCAGUUAAUCGGUUACUUAAGAAAAGCCAAAAAUACUGCUUAUUUGAAGGAUCAUUCACAAGAAAGAUACAUUUCGGUUUGGAGAAGAUGGAUAGAUUAUAUUCAGAAUAAAUAUGGGACUAAAAAGUUCCAUUUAC
Molecule: long non-coding RNA, 708 nt
Organism: Crotalus tigris (Tiger rattlesnake)
Lineage: Eukaryota; Metazoa; Chordata; Lepidosauria; Squamata; Viperidae
Exons: 3
Source: RefSeq, a predicted model, not a curated record